Penaeus indicus is the source of this 552-nucleotide long non-coding RNA. RefSeq lists it as uncharacterized. Lineage: Eukaryota; Metazoa; Arthropoda; Malacostraca; Decapoda; Penaeidae. The transcript is spliced from 3 exons. The record is from RefSeq and is a predicted model, not a curated record.
CUUCCUUGUGGGAAUCCCGCGAGUUGCCAAGCAGCGCCUUAUGUAUGUAUGUGUAUAUAAGGCGUCGAGAUGAACCUCGGGAGUUAGACGCUUGCUACUGCUUGAAUCUCCUUGUCCCUCGUCAGAACAAUGGUGAACCGCAGCUUGCUCUUCCUCCUCCUGGUGGCUCUGGCCCUCUCAGCCGUGACACUGGCUAAUCCACUGCCCGAUGCCGGUGCCAAGGCUCACUUCCCUGGUUAUGGUUACGGAUACGGCGGACUCGGUUACGGAUUCGGGCACGGAUACGGACACUACGGUAUCCCUGUCUAUCAUCACUACGGUUAGAAGACCGAAUUGCAUGAUGGCAGAACGUCGCCAGCAAAAACAUCUCUCGAUCUUCUCACAAACGGAUGGAUCUUUGACCGAAGAAACCAAAUGCCCGUUGUAAAAAAACAAAAAACAAACAAACAAAAAAUACUCUUCAUUUCCCUUCACUCCGCCAUCUGUCGAAUGUGUUUGUUGUAUCAGAUUUGCUGUUUUCUAAAACCGUCUGAUAAAUCCGAAAUGACAUUA